Molecule: ribosomal RNA, 493 nt
Filed under: uncultured bacterium
Lineage: Bacteria
Description: partial 16S ribosomal RNA
Rfam family: Bacterial small subunit ribosomal RNA
Source: RNAcentral
AGUGAACGCUGGCGGUAGGCCUAACACAUGCAAGUCGAACGGCAGCACAGUAAGAGCUUGCUCUUACGGGUGGCGAGUGGCGGACGGGUGAGGAAUACAUCGGAAUCUACUUUUUCGUGGGGGAUAACGUAGGGAAACUUACGCUAAUACCGCAUACGACCUACGGGUGAAAGCAGGGGAUCUUCGGACCUUGCGCGAUUGAAUGAGCCGAUGUCGGAUUAGCUAGUUGGCGGGGUAAAGGCCCACCAAGGCGACGAUCCGUAGCUGGUCUGAGAGGAUGAUCAGCCACACUGGGACUGAGACACGGUCCAGACUCCUACGGGAGGCAGCAGUGGGGAAUAUUUGACAAUGGGCGCAAGCCUGAUCCAGCCAUACCGCGUGGGUGAAGAAGGCCUUCGGGUUGUAAAGCCCUUUUGUUGGGAAAGAAAAGCAGCAGGUUAAUACCCCGCUGUUCUGACGGUACCCAAAGAAUAAGCACCGGCUAACUUCGUGC